RNAcentral lists this long non-coding RNA (841 nucleotides) under Linum usitatissimum (flax). RNAcentral describes it as "long non-coding RNA (LUSI_LNC004202)". Lineage: Eukaryota; Viridiplantae; Streptophyta; Magnoliopsida; Malpighiales; Linaceae. The record is from RNAcentral.
UCGAUUCUGUCGGAACAUUCGAAUUGAUAUCAGAGCUCAUCUCCUGCACCCAUUACCAACAUUAUUACUGAUUCACUUCCUUCAUCACUGCCCGUCUUUUCCGGAGGUGACAGAUGAAAUUUCGACAAUCAGGUCUACAAGGCAUAGAUGGCUCUAUCCGGCGAAGCUCUUAGCUGGUUUAAUGAGUGGCAGAAGAGAUGCAAUUCCCUUGAUUGGUUCGAAUUUGGUGCCGCUGUUUUUACUCGAUUUCCAUGCAAGCAAUCUCACCUGUUUUGCAGAACUCUCCCGCUCCUAUUGCAGCACCUACAAAAGUGAACUAUACUGCCGGCGGUCGCGACACUGCGUCAAAGAGAAAUACGAGCACCGCCGAGGUUCCUUUUGGGCUGCCAUCUGCAAUUUCUCUAUUCAAUGGUGGUAUUUCAUGGUCGCUUCCCCCUUUGCUAAACAUCAAGUUUUUAUUUCAGCUCAAGUAAUUUUGGAUUUGCAAAUGAGUUCAAGGGUGGAAGUAAUUUGGUGUUGAGUUUGAGAGAUUGUGAGCUGAGUUUUCAUCCUAAACACUGCCGUCAUGUUGUGCUUUCAAGGAGAGGUGAUAAUUUCGUAAGUGGUAGUGAAAUUUACGAGGAGUUGGUGGAUGCACUCCAAUUGUUUGAUGAAAGUCCCAUUUGGGAAUUGAUUUUUGCAUCACCUUCUAAAAUUUAUGGAUUAGUGAUUGAAGUAUGGGGUCGGGGAGUGAAAUGGAAUUCCAGUGUUGUUCAUGGGUUCAAAGGUAGUUGAUAUUUGGUGAUAAUGCUUGUUAAAUUUGGAAGUUUUAUGCACAGCAACCCAUUCAGUUGGAGUUCCC